This 86-nucleotide transfer RNA is filed under the name Oceanidesulfovibrio indonesiensis. Its description in RNAcentral is "Desulfovibrio indonesiensis tRNA-Tyr". It matches the Rfam family "tRNA". Rfam says of the family: Transfer RNA (tRNA) molecules are approximately 80 nucleotides in length. Their secondary structure includes four short double-helical elements and three loops (D, anti-codon, and T loops). RNAcentral also lists the same sequence under 5 other names. The record is from RNAcentral. Lineage: Bacteria; Pseudomonadati; Thermodesulfobacteriota; Desulfovibrionia; Desulfovibrionales; Desulfovibrionaceae.
GGAGGGGUUCCCGAGUGGCCAAAGGGAACAGACUGUAAAUCUGUCGGCGUAUGCCUUCGGAGGUUCAAAUCCUCCCCCCUCCACCA